GUGCCAGCAGCCGCGGUAAUACGUAUGGGGCGAGCGUUGUUCGGAAUUAUUGGGCGUAAAGGGCGUCUAGGCGGGAAAUUAAGUUAGGUGUGAAAGCUAUGGGCUCAACCCAUAAACUGCAUCUAAAACUGAUUUUCUUGAGUUCGGGAGAGGAGAGCGGAAUUCCAGGUGUAGCGGUGAAAUGCGUAGAUAUCUGGAAGAACACCAGUGGCGAAGGCGGCUCUCUGGCCUAGAACUGACGCUGAAGCGCGAAAGCGUGGGGAGCGAACAGGAUUAGAUACCCUUGUAGUCC
This 292-nucleotide ribosomal RNA is filed under the name uncultured bacterium. RNAcentral's name for it is "partial 16S ribosomal RNA". It matches the Rfam family "Bacterial small subunit ribosomal RNA", at positions 505 to 796 of the family's 1533-position model. The record is from RNAcentral.